GGUCAAGUGAAGAAGCGCAUACGGUGGAUGCCUUGGCAGUCAGAGGCGAUGAAAGACGUGGUAGCCUGCGAAAAGCUUCGGGGAGUCGGCAAACAGACUUUGAUCCGGAGAUCUCUGAAUGGGGGAACCCACCUAGGAUAACCUAGGUAUCUUGUACUGAAUCCAUAGGUGCAAGAGGCGAACCAGGGGAACUGAAACAUCUAAGUACCCUGAGGAAAAGAAAUCAACCGAGAUUCCCUUAGUAGUGGCGAGCGAACGGGGAUUAGCCCUUAAGCUUCAUUGAUUUUAGCGGAACGCUCUGGAAAGUGCGGCCAUAGUGGGUGAUAGCCCCGUACGCGAAAGGAUCUUUGAAGUGAAAUCGAGUAGGACGGAGCACGAGAAACUUUGUCUGAACAUGGGGGGACCAUCCUCCAAGGCUAAAUACUACUGACUGACCGAUAGUGAACCAGUACCGUGAGGGAAAGGCGAAAAGAACCCCGGAGAGGGGAGUGAAAUAGAACCUGAAACCGUAUGCGUACAAGCAGUGGGAGCCUACUUGUUAGGUGACUGCGUACCUUUUGUAUAAUGGGUCAGCGACUUAUAUUCAGUGGCAAGCUUAACCGUAUAGGGUAGGCGUAGCGAAAGCGAGUCUUAAUAGGGCGUUUAGUCGCUGGGUAUAGACCCGAAACCGGGCGAUCUAUCCAUGAGCAGGUUGAAGGUUAGGUAACACUGACUGGAGGACCGAACCCACUCCCGUUGAAAAGGUAGGGGAUGACUUGUGGAUCGGAGUGAAAGGCUAAUCAAGCUCGGAGAUAGCUGGUUCUCCUCGAAAGCUAUUUAGGUAGCGCCUCAUGUAUCACUCUGGGGGGUAGAGCACUGUUUCGGCUAGGGGGUCAUCCCGACUUACCAAACCGAUGCAAACUCCGAAUACCCAGAAGUGCCGAGCAUGGGAGACACACGGCGGGUGCUAACGUCCGUCGUGAAAAGGGAAACAACCCAGACCGCCAGCUAAGGUCCCAAAGUUGUGGUUAAGUGGUAAACGAUGUGGGAAGGCUUAGACAGCUAGGAGGUUGGCUUAGAAGCAGCCAUCCUUUAAAGAAAGCGUAAUAGCUCACUAGUCGAGUCGGCCUGCGCGGAAGAUGUAACGGGGCUCAAACCACACACCGAAGCUGCGGGUGUCACGUAAGUGACGCGGUAGAGGAGCGUUCUGUAAGCCUGUGAAGGUGAGUUGAGAAGCUUGCUGGAGGUAUCAGAAGUGCGAAUGCUGACAUGAGUAACGACAAUGGGUGUGAAAAACACCCACGCCGAAAGACCAAGGGUUCCUGCGCAACGUUAAUCGACGCAGGGUUAGUCGGUUCCUAAGGCGAGGCUGAAAAGCGUAGUCGAUGGGAAACAGGUUAAUAUUCCUGUACUUCUGGUUACUGCGAUGGAGGGACGGAGAAGGCUAGGCCAGCUUGGCGUUGGUUGUCCAAGUUUAAGGUGGUAGGCUGAAAUCUUAGGUAAAUCCGGGGUUUCAAGGCCGAGAGCUGAUGACGAGUCGUCUUUUAGAUGACGAAGUGGUUGAUGCCAUGCUUCCAAGAAAAGCUUCUAAGCUUCAGGUAACCAGGAACCGUACCCCAAACCGACACAGGUGGUCGGGUAGAGAAUACCAAGGCGCUUGAGAGAACUCGGGUGAAGGAACUAGGCAAAAUGGCACCGUAACUUCGGGAGAAGGUGCGCCGGCUAGGGUGAAGGAUUUACUCCGUAAGCUCUGGCUGGUCGAAGAUACCAGGCCGCUGCGACUGUUUAUUAAAAACACAGCACUCUGCAAACACGAAAGUGGACGUAUAGGGUGUGACGCCUGCCCGGUGCCGGAAGGUUAAUUGAUGGGGUUAGCGCAAGCGAAGCUCUUGAUCGAAGCCCCGGUAAACGGCGGCCGUAACUAUAACGGUCCUAAGGUAGCGAAAUUCCUUGUCGGGUAAGUUCCGACCUGCACGAAUGGCGUAACGAUGGCGGCGCUGUCUCCACCCGAGACUCAGUGAAAUUGAAAUCGCUGUGAAGAUGCAGUGUAUCCGCGGCUAGACGGAGAGACCCCGUGAACCUUUACUGUAGCUUUGCACUGGACUUUGAGCCUGCUUGUGUAGGAUAGGUGGGAGGCUUUGAAGCGUGGACGCCAGUUCGCGUGGAGCCAUCCUUGAAAUACCACCCUGGCAUGCUUGAGGUUCUAACUCUGGUCCGUGAUCCGGAUCGAGGACAGUGUAUGGUGGGCAGUUUGACUGGGGCGGUCUCCUCCUAAAGAGUAACGGAGGAGUGCGAAGGUGCGCUCAGACCGGUCGGAAAUCGGUCGCAGAGUAUAAAGGCAAAAGCGCGCUUGACUGCGAGACAGACACGUCGAGCAGGUACGAAAGUAGGUCUUAGUGAUCCGGUGGUUCUGUAUGGAAGGGCCAUCGCUCAACGGAUAAAAGGUACUCCGGGGAUAACAGGCUGAUACCGCCCAAGAGUUCAUAUCGACGGCGGUGUUUGGCACCUCGAUGUCGGCUCAUCACAUCCUGGGGCUGAAGCCGGUCCCAAGGGUAUGGCUGUUCGCCAUUUAAAGUGGUACGCGAGCUGGGUUUAGAACGUCGUGAGACAGUUCGGUCCCUAUCUGCCGUGGACGUUUGAGAUUUGAGAGGGGCUGCUCCUAGUACGAGAGGACCGGAGUGGACGAACCUCUGGUGUUCCGGUUGUCACGCCAGUGGCAUUGCCGGGUAGCUAUGUUCGGAAAAGAUAACCGCUGAAAGCAUCUAAGCGGGAAACUUGCCUCAAGAUGAGAUCUCACUGGGAACUUGAUUCCCCUGAAGGGCCGUCGAAGACUACGACGUUGAUAGGCUGGGUGUGUAAGCGUUGUGAGGCGUUGAGCUAACCAGUACUAAUUGCCCGUGAGGCUUGACCAU
Molecule: ribosomal RNA, 2891 nt
Filed under: Pseudomonas aeruginosa
Lineage: Bacteria; Pseudomonadati; Pseudomonadota; Gammaproteobacteria; Pseudomonadales; Pseudomonadaceae
Description: 23S ribosomal RNA
Rfam family: Bacterial large subunit ribosomal RNA
Source: RNAcentral